GGCUCACCUAGGCGACGAUCCAUAGCUGGUCUGAGAGGAGGACCAGCCACACUGGAACUGAGACACGGUCCAGACUCCUACGGGAGGCAGCAGAGGGGAAUAUUGCACAAUGGGCGCAAGCCUGAUGCAGCCAUGCAGCGUGUAUGAAGUAGGCCUUCGGGUUGUGAAGUACUUUCAGCGGGGAGGAAGGGAGGAAAGUUAAGACCUUUGCUCAUUGACGU
RNAcentral lists this ribosomal RNA (221 nucleotides) under Escherichia coli. RNAcentral describes it as "partial 16S ribosomal RNA". It matches the Rfam family "Bacterial small subunit ribosomal RNA", at positions 262 to 475 of the family's 1533-position model. Lineage: Bacteria; Pseudomonadati; Pseudomonadota; Gammaproteobacteria; Enterobacterales; Enterobacteriaceae. The record is from RNAcentral.